UUAAACACUUUUUAAAGUAUCAAUUGGAGGGCAAGUCUGGUGCCAGCAGCCGCGGUAAUUCCAGCUCCAAUAGCGUAUAUUAAAAUUGUUGCAGUUAAAAAGCUCGUAGUUGAAUUUCUGCUAAAAAAAGCCGGUCUGCUUUUAAUAAAAGUGGUAUCUUGGUGUGUUUUUAGCAAUAAUGUCUUUCGAAAUGUUUUAUUACUUUAUUGUAUUAGACCAUAUUGAAGAUUUUUACUUUGAGAAAAUUAGAGUGUUUCUAGCAGGCUAACGCUUUGAAUACUGCAGCAUGGAAUAAUAAAAUAGGAUUUUAGUUCUAUAUUAUUGGUUUUAAGAGCUAAAUUAAUGAUGAAUAGGGACAGUUGGGGGCAUUUGUAUUUAACUGUCAGAGGUGAAAUUCUUAGAUUUGUUAAAGACAAACUACUGC
This 424-nucleotide ribosomal RNA is filed under the name Hepatozoon sp. RNAcentral's name for it is "SSU rRNA". It matches the Rfam family "Eukaryotic small subunit ribosomal RNA", at positions 525 to 946 of the family's 1831-position model. Lineage: Eukaryota; Apicomplexa; Hepatozoidae. The record is from RNAcentral.